GAACCUAAGCACACUACUCAACAUUGCUCAAAGAAGUGACACAACCAUAAAAUGAGGAGUAUAGUGAUCAAAGAAGAUAGCAUGUCAAAAAACAAAUUUGUCCAACUACAAUAGGGACUGUGCGGUUGGAACCUUGUACAACACCUAGUGAAGGUCCUAUUCUCUCUUUAGAACCCUUUCCAUGUUUUACGAUAAAUGUUAUUGUAAGAUCUAAACAUCAUAAAGCCUCUACUUUACUAGAUUCACGAGCCUCAGCAUGUUUCUUAAAUGAAGAAUUUGCU
Molecule: long non-coding RNA, 281 nt
Filed under: Physcomitrium patens
Lineage: Eukaryota; Viridiplantae; Streptophyta; Bryopsida; Funariales; Funariaceae
Description: long non-coding RNA (PPAT_LNC002815)
Source: RNAcentral